This 60-nucleotide microRNA precursor is filed under the name Blattella germanica (German cockroach). RNAcentral's name for it is "Bge-Mir-2796_pre stem-loop". Lineage: Eukaryota; Metazoa; Arthropoda; Insecta; Blattodea; Blattellidae. The record is from RNAcentral.
AGGGGUUUCUUUCGGCCUCCAGCCGACAUGGAAUGUUGUAGGCCGGCGGAAACUACUUGC